RNAcentral lists this long non-coding RNA (5838 nucleotides) under Triticum aestivum (bread wheat). RNAcentral's name for it is "long non-coding RNA (TAES_LNC023884)". The record is from RNAcentral. Lineage: Eukaryota; Viridiplantae; Streptophyta; Magnoliopsida; Poales; Poaceae.
AUAUAAUACUUAAAAGGUAUAUUUCUAUAUAUAUUUAAUUUUGUAGAAUAUGAGAGAGAUGAUGGAUCAUGUCGGGGUUCAAAAAAAACCCAUUCAGAGGGUUUUUGGGGUGACGUCAUUGGAAAGGGACAAAAAUUCACCAUGUUUUAUACAACAAAAAGAUGUGCAAGUGAUGAUAUCCCACAACAACAACACACUCAAAAUAAAGCAAACCGGCUGGAAUUACGAUAAAUGUUUAUGGCAACAUUUAUUUCCAACUGAUAUUCUAAUGAGUAAAUUCAAUGAUGUUUACAUAACUCAAGGAAAAUAUUUCAAAAGCCCGUAGCAACGCACGGACAUUCUACUAGUAGAGGUCUAGUGUGAGGCUGCCCACUGGCCCCACCGACUAACAGCCACUCGUGCCAGGUACCCACACGGGCACAACCCCGUACGGAACCGGAGUCUUGUACGGUAGUCCCACGCCGGGCAGACACCAGGAUCCGUGCGGCUCCUACACGCCGCGCUGCCUCCUUCCCUCCUCGGCUACCGGCAUUGAUCCGGCCAGCCGGAGACGGCUAUAAAAAUUUCCACGUGGCUGCUGAAGUGAGGUAUGCAUAUGCGUUCGUCGAUGGCGAGACUUAGUUUUAAUAAACUUUUAAUCUUUUGACUGGUGAAUGGCGAUUCUCUAGAGGUGGUGCUGGUAGAUUACUACACUAUCUCUUCUUGGCAAAAAGGAAAAAAAAAGAUUACUACACUAUCUCAGCUGUUCGCACGCGUUUAUUUUAGUGGUUAAAACCAUGCAAUCAUGCAACAGCAAGCCUAGAAUGACUGCAAUUCUUUUUAGAGAGAAGCUGGAGGUCUAUUUAAUAUUCUUUGACUCUUGGUUGGACUCAAUAGAACCAGUCCCUGUUAAUAAAAUGCUCGAGAGAGACAAUGUGGCCUCAUUUUCCGUCUUUUGGACCUGCAAAUGGAAGAAAAUUAACGUUCAUACAUCCUCGGACAAAGACAUGUGGUACCUCCGAAUAUCCUGGGUUGGCAUAGGUGCACUUAGCCUAAGUCAUAUUCUUAUUUCGAUCGUAGAAAGAAAAGUCGUAUUCUUAUUUGAGGGAUAGUGUGCUAAGAAAUCUUGGUGUAGUCAUUUCAAGAUGAAAUCAUCUACUCCCUCCGUUCCUAAAUACUUGUCUUUCUAGGCAUUUCAAAUGACUAUCACAUACGGAUGUAUGUAGACAUAUUUUAAAGUGUAGAUCCACUCAUUUUACUCCGUAUGUAGUCACUUGUUGAAAUGCCUAGAAAGACAAGUAUUUAGGAACGGAGGGAGUAGUGAGCAUGCGGCAGUUGUAAAUUCUGACAGCCUCUUUAUCAAACUGUUUCUAAUCCCUCUCGCUCAAUCCUGAUUUGACCUUGGAAUUUUUUUUCCCGUGCCCCGAGCUUGAUUCUGGCUCAUGUAAUACUCUCCCGUUGCCUUUUUUCUGUGGCAUAUACAGUGGUGCUGCGACUGCCGGGGGGUCACUUGUGAGAUGGACCUGUGGUCAAUUAGUGCGGUCAGUGGGGUUCUAUGCGAGGGAAGCGGAGGAGAGAUCACAUAUUUUUUUAGAAACACCUGUUAGUUUAUUCAUAAUCAUAACAAUUACACUUACAGGACCUAAGAUCCAAGAGAUCGCACAUGAAGAGCCUGGGUGGGGUCAUGCCUGAUUGAUUGGAUGGAACAGGAGGUGCUAUGCCCACACAAGAGAUGACUGAGACCAUCCUGGAUGGAAUGGUGCUUAGAGCAUCUCCGGCCGCGCUCCUAACAAGCCCCCCCUAAAGCCUUUUUUAUCGCCGGCAUCGAAAAAUCGGCUAAGUCACGUCCCAGAAGCCCACUUUUCGCCGGUUAUGGCCAAAUUUGGCGCCGGCGAACCCAGGCCGGACCCGGCGCGCUGGGGGGCUCCUGGGGCUUCGGGGGAAACAGAUUUGGCGCAAAAGCCUGGCGGGCCCGCCGAGUCAGCGACCAGGCGCGUUCGUCAUCCUCAUCGCCUCGGUUUCCCAUGGAGAAUCAAUGCCAAGUCUGUCGCGCUGCCGCGCCGGUCAGCCUUCCAUUGAUGCCUCACGCGCGGCGCAGUGAAGGCGCGGCGACGCGCGUCCCGCCCACUCCCGCCAUGCGUACACACGGCGGCUACCCUCUCGCCGCCCACGCACGGCUAUAAAAGCCGCCCCCUCACUGGUGAGAACAUACUCCAUCGCCACAGAACCCUCUCCCCAUCUCGACCUCUCACCGCCGACGCACGUCUCUCCUCUCUUCCCCCGACGAUGAGCAUGGCCGAGCGCUACCCAGGCGAUGGUGCGAUGGCCAACGGCUUCGGCCGUCGCCACCUACACGAGGACGAGGCACGCCUCCUCUACGAGGCCGAUUACCCGGCGCCGCCGGACAUGCGGGUGCCGGGCUCUUGGAGGCUCAGCGUCGGCGGCGUCCCGGUGCCUCUAGCGUCCAUUGGAGCUGAUCGGCGCGCCAAAAUCGUGCGCAUCCGGUCCUCGCUGCUGGAGCAGGCGCAGAACCAGUCGAGGUACGCCCCCGACAGCAACGCGCUGUGGACGGCGUACUUCGACCGGCGCCACGAGGAGCAGCUUUCCUCCACCAACAGCGUCGAGCCCCGCGACCGCCUCAACUCCGACGGGCGGCGCCAAUGGUGGGGCAUCCCCGGCCGCACCCUCGACGCCGUCCUCGAGUACAUCGAGGCCGGCAACACGCCGCGCCUGGAGUACCCGGAACCCCCUCCUUCUCUCGUCGCCGCAGCAGCUCCUGGACGUCGCGGCGAAUGGAGACGGCGACAUCCUCGUCGUCGGGCUGCCUCUCCUCCGGAUCGCCGGCGCUCCGCCCCGUCAAGUCGGAGCCACAGGAGACGCCGCUCAGGCGCCGCACCCGCAGUGGCGCCCUCGCCAUCAACGAGGGUGGCCGUGGCCCCUCUCCUCCCUCCUCCCGGCUCGUUAGGCCAAAGACCGAGCCGGGGCUUCUCUCCGUGAAGGAGCACAAGGCCAUGGCCGCCACUGACGAGACGCCCUCAAAUGGGCGAGGGAGGACUACGUCCGCGAGAAGAUGGCGCGCCAGCGCCGCGCCCUCGAGGAGAUCGCCGCUCGACACCUCAGACGCGAGGAGGGCGGCGUCGUCAUCCUCGAUGAUAGCAACGAGGAAGCUCCCUGUCCGUCCAACCCCCCACGCAUCGGCGACCCUGGUCAGGGGUGCAGCAGGGACGGCGGCGACACGUAGGACGGUGGCGACAAUGACGACGACGGCGUCGACUACACCAAGUUCUAUCGGCUGCUCGGCAUGUAGAAGGUGGGCGGCGGCGGCUUUAGUAUUUAGUUCUUUUUAGUAGUAGUAGUACUAUUUUAGUUGUUGUUGUUUUUAAUUUAUGUUUUCAGCUUUUUGUACAAAUAUCAAUGAAAUCAUCUAGUUUGGUCGGCGUUUGGCCGAAUUUCGGCCGAGUUUAGUUUUCAAAAAAGGCGUCUGGGGCGGCCUUGGGGCGGCGGUUGGGAAACCGACCGCCCCCACACCGAUUUUUUCGCCGGCGCGCCCCAGGCGGUGCUAUUUCAAGCCCCUGGGGGGGCCGAGCGAGUGGAGAUGCCCUUAGUUUGAUAUAGCCGUGUUCCACACUGGUUUUUACUAUAAUGAAAAUGGAGUUCGGUUGAUGUUUUUAUUCCAUGUAAAAAACACCAAUAAUGCAUAAACUUGCGUGUUACGUUCAAAUUAGUCUCAAAACUGGAAAAUACAGUUUUUCGGUCCAAAAUAUUGUGCAUGCAUGUCAUUUUAAUGGUUUUGAAAAGUAAACAACUUCUAGCAACUUUAAAUGAAGCCUUGAUUCACAGGUGAAGUGUACCAAUUGGAACUCUAUGUGCAUUUAGAUGGAUUUAUACAUUCUGGAUAAGCAGUGAGCAUGGAUUAUUUAUGAUGCAUGAACAUGGCAAAAUCAUGAUCUGCACAUUAUUCUAGUGCAAAAGCAUAUAAAGAACAUCACAAUCGGAGUUACGGAGCUACCAGUAUGAUCACAACAAGUUCGGAUGGCCACAAAUGUAACCAAGAAGAAAAGGAAGCUGUGGGCCAUACAAUAGAUUUCGAUAAGUGCCAGUGGAUAGAUUGGAAAGAGUAGCCCCAAAUUCAUUUAGAAAUUAUAUGAUUUGGAGUUAGGGUGCAAAAGAUAUGCUAGGUGUAAGGAAAAAGGUGUUUUGUGCAAAUCUGAGUCAAACAAUAAUUUGGUUUGAUCAAACCUGAGAACAAAGUGCACCAUUAGAUAGAACACAAAAUUCUAGUUGAAAAACAUACAAAAUUUGUGCCAAGAAGUUUUGUAAAACCCAAGAUAUGCUCAUGCAAAGUUUGAUGUCAAAUCUGCCACAAACAUCAACAUGCCCACUUUAAUGCAACAUAACAGCAUGUUAACGGUUUUAACAUGGCAACAUAUUACAUACCCUGAAAGUAGCCAUAAACUGAGCAAUUUACAUAUAUAACUUUAGUUCAUAUUAUGCAUGGUUGAUUUUAUAUGAAUUUUCAAGAUGCUACUUUAUGUUGGAAAAACUUGCUCAAAGCAGAGAAAUAAUGCCACAUUCGAAUUCCUGGGAUUUUUCUGCCCCAGAAACAUAUAUUAUAUGCAUAUGUUCAAGUUUGAAUUAGUCACAUUUCAUUUAUGCAAAUUUGGAUGGAUUUAUGCAUUUUUAGAAGAAAAAAAGAAAACAGAAAUAGAAAAUAAAAAAGAAAGAAAAACCAAUGGGCACCCAUGCUCAAACAGUCAAUGAGGAUGACUAGUGGGCCAUGGGGCUAUGUGGACAGUGGGUGUGUGCGUGUUGUGUAUGAAAAGUAGGUGGUGGAGCCCACGUGCUAGUGGUAGAGAAAGUGCAAAGAAUGGGGGCUUUUACCACGCCUCAACGGGAAUAGGUGCAUGGCCUUAUGUGGUUGACCCAGGCACCGACGACUGGAGCCCAUGCGUCAGCAUGAUGGUGAUGACACGUGAUGCAGACGAGCGAAGGGGUACGCAGGGUUUUAAUCGCGAUCAUCAAGAGCAGAUCCUACGGUGGUGAUGUGCUCGUGUUCAAAACAAACAGAGCAAAACCGAGUUAGCACCAGCUGCGACCAAACUCAUGGCAGGGCCUUGCCAGAGAAGAUCUCCAACGCGCCCUUGUUGUUCUCGUGCGUGCAGUGGAUGCAACAGGAAAAGUUGCAUCCUCGGGUGCCUAUCAAACCUCCCAACAUUGACUGAGGUGACGCCGAGGACAAGCCGGAGCGGGGAAGCGUUCAGACGUGCAUAGAAUCGAGGUCAUGGUGGGCAAAUGAAGGAUCUAACGCCACAUGAGUACCUACGAACUCGCGCGAAUAAGACAGAGCGAAGGGGUCGAACCAUAGGUCGUCGAAGCAGCUCCGGCGACAUGGCCGCACGAAGGAGCUCUCGGGCUCACAAACGGACGAGGCAUGCAUGAAUUGGGCGUGAAAAUAGGGGGGGAAGACGGGUGUUGUACCAGGAGUACGGAGGUGUGCUCCGCUCGGCGAGAGGUGGACGGGGAUGGCCGGAGUGGAGGAAGAAACGCCGGCGGCCGUAAAUGAAGAAGAUGAAGAAGACGGCUUGAACUUGGCGUCCCUGGGUGCGGUAGAGGACGUCGUGGAAGAAGAUGACGCAUGUGAACCCCCUAGACACGAGCCGAGCGCUGGGGAUGGUGUUGCUCAUGCGGGCACCAUGGCUACACUCCAGAAACUCUAGGGUGCUGGUGGAAUUGCCCCGAUCUGGGGUUUCCCAAGCCGGCUUGGGAGAGGGGAAAUGAGGAGUGGAUGGGGAUGCUCCUGGCGUGGAGAGGGGAAUGAUAAGGCCGCGGAGAGGCGAAGCGAGUGUUGCGUGCCCUCGG